This 402-nucleotide long non-coding RNA is filed under the name Meleagris gallopavo (turkey). RNAcentral describes it as "lncRNA (ENSMGAG00000018467.1)". The record is from RNAcentral. Lineage: Eukaryota; Metazoa; Chordata; Aves; Galliformes; Phasianidae.
CUCUGCCAUCUUCACCUCAGGACAUCUGUCUUUCCUUUCUGCAUUGGAAACUACAAGCAAAUGAAAGCUGUGAAGCUUUUCAUAAUAUACUCAUCCUUCUGAGCCAGAAUGAUUGAUUUAAGAAAAACAGUUCAUAAACAUACCCUUAACAGAGAGUUUGUGCUUAAAUUUGUGUAAGUAAAGAGGGAAAAAAAGAAGUAAUUUCUGAUGUAAGUAAGCCUGUGACAGUUUUUGCCCAGGUAAGAAAUAAUAAAGAUUUCAAAAUUUGCUCCUCAGGGAAAUUUCAUGCCAGGUGAAAUUGCAACGUGACCUGCAAAGAAAACAUUUUAUUUCCCAGAAUCUUUAACCAAUUUUAAAAACAAUGCCCAGCUACUUUCCUGCGUGUUUCACAGAGUGGAUUUU